CUACGGGGCGCUGCAGUGGGGAAUAUUGGGCAAUGGGCGAAAGCCUGACCCAGCAACGCCGCGUGAAGGAAGAAGGCUUUCGGGUCGUAAACUUCUAUCCCAGAUGAAGAUAAUGACGGUAAUCUGGAAGGAAGCCCCGGCUAACUACGUGCCAGCAGCCGCGGUAAUACGGAGGGGGCAAGCGUUGUGCGGAAUGAUUGGGCGUAAAGGGCGCGUAGGCGGCCUUUUAAGUCCGAUGUGAAAGUCCUGCUUUUAAGGUGGGAAUUGCAUUGGAAACUGGAAGGCUUGAGUGCAGGAGAGGUAAGUGGCAUUCCCGGUGUAGCGGUGAAAUGCGUAGAGAUCGGGAGGAACACCAGUGGCGAAGGCGACUUACUGGACUGUAACUGACGCUGAGGCGCGAAAGUGUGGGGAGCAAACAGGAUUAGAUACCCUGGUAGUC
This 439-nucleotide ribosomal RNA is filed under the name uncultured bacterium. RNAcentral describes it as "partial 16S ribosomal RNA". It matches the Rfam family "Bacterial small subunit ribosomal RNA", at positions 339 to 795 of the family's 1533-position model. The record is from RNAcentral.